CAGCAGCCGCCGCGGGAAUACGUAGGUGGCAAGCGUUGUCCGGAAUUGUUGGGCGUAAAGCGCGCGCAGGCGGAUCAGUUAGUCUGUCUUAAAAGUUCGGGGCUUAACCCCGUGAUGGGAUGGAAACUGCUGAUCUAGAGUAUCGGAGAGGAAAGUGGAAUUCCUAGUGUAGCGGUGAAAUGCGUAGAUGUUAGGAAGAACACCAGUGGCGAAGGCGACUUUCUGGACGAAAACUGACGCUGAGGCGCGAAAGCCAGGGGAGCGAACGGGAUUAGAUACCCGCGUAGUCCCUGUCUCUUAUACC
RNAcentral lists this ribosomal RNA (304 nucleotides) under uncultured bacterium. Its description in RNAcentral is "partial 16S ribosomal RNA". It matches the Rfam family "Bacterial small subunit ribosomal RNA", at positions 506 to 808 of the family's 1533-position model. The record is from RNAcentral.